AGUGAACGCUGGCGGUAGGCCUAACACAUGCAAGUCGAACGGCAGCACAGUAAGAGCUUGCUCUUACGGGUGGCGAGUGGCGGACGGGUGAGGAAUACAUCGGAAUCUACUUUUUCGUGGGGGAUAACGUAGGGAAACUUACGCUAAUACCGCUUACGACCUACGGGUGAAAGCAGGGGAUCUUCGGACCUUGCGCGAUUGAAUGAGCCGAUGUCGGAUUAGCUAGUUGGCGGGGUAAAGGCCCACCAAGGCGACGAUCCGUAGCUGGUCUGAGAGGAUGAUCAGCCGCACUGGAACUGAGACACGGUCCAGACUCCUACGGGAGGCAGCAGUGGGGAAUAUUGGACAAUGGGCGCAAGCCUGAUCCAGCCAUACCGCGUGGGUGAAGAAGGCCUUCGGGUUGUAAAGCCCUUUUGUUGGGAAAGAAAAGCAGCAGGUUAAUACCCCGCUGUUCUGACGGUACCCAAAGAAUAAGCACCGGCUAACUUCGUG
This 492-nucleotide ribosomal RNA is filed under the name uncultured bacterium. RNAcentral describes it as "partial 16S ribosomal RNA". It matches the Rfam family "Bacterial small subunit ribosomal RNA", at positions 29 to 507 of the family's 1533-position model. The record is from RNAcentral.